AACGAACGCUGGCGGCAUGCCUAACACAUGCAAGUCGAACGAGACCUUCGGGUCUAGUGGCGCACGGGUGCGUAACGCGUGGGAACCUGCCUUUAGGUUCGGAAUAACUCAGAGAAAUUUGAGCUAAUACCGGAUAAUGUCUUCGGACCAAAAGAUUUAUCGCCUUUAGAUGGGCCCGCGUAAGAUUAGCUAGUUGGUGGGGUAAAGGCCUACCAAGGCGACGAUCUUUAGCUGGUCUGAGAGGAUGAUCAGCCACGCUGGGACUGAGACACGGCCCAGACUCCUACGGGAGGCAGCAGUGGGGAAUAUUGGACAAUGGGCGAAAGCCUGAUCCAGCAAUGCCGCGUGAGUGAUGAAGGCCUUAGGGUUGUAAAAGACUCUUUCACCGGUCGAAGAUAAUGACGGUAGCCGGAGAAGAAGCCCGGCUAAC
RNAcentral lists this ribosomal RNA (430 nucleotides) under uncultured bacterium. RNAcentral's name for it is "bacterial SSU rRNA". It matches the Rfam family "Bacterial small subunit ribosomal RNA", at positions 29 to 501 of the family's 1533-position model. The record is from RNAcentral.